GUGAAAAGAGGUGUAUAUCACUAUUCUGAUUUGAAGUCAGGGGGCUGCGUUAUGGAGACGUGUUUUCACU
Molecule: transfer RNA, 70 nt
Filed under: Trichobilharzia szidati
Lineage: Eukaryota; Metazoa; Platyhelminthes; Trematoda; Strigeidida; Schistosomatidae
Description: tRNA-Ser
Source: RNAcentral